Molecule: ribosomal RNA, 567 nt
Filed under: uncultured archaeon
Lineage: Archaea
Description: bacterial SSU rRNA
Rfam family: Archaeal small subunit ribosomal RNA
Source: RNAcentral
CGCGAUUCGCCCUUCGGGGUGCACCAGGCGCGAAAACUCUACAAUGCAGGCAACUGCGAUAGGGGAACAUCGAGUGAUCCUCAUAUUGGGGGUCUGUCCACCCGCCUAAAAAGCGGGUGUUAGCAAGGGCCGGGCAAGACCGGUGCCAGCCGCCGCGGUAAUACCGGCGGCUCGAGUGGUGGCCGAUAUUAUUGAGUCUAAAGGGUCCGUAGCCGGCUUUGCAAGUCUCUCGGGAAAUCCAGCGGCUUAACCGUUGGUCGUCCGGGGGGUACUACAUUGCUUGGGACUGGGAGAGGUAGGAGGUACUCAGGGGGUAGGAGUGAAAUCCUGUAAUCCUUUGGGGACCACCGGUGGCGAAGGCGUCCUACCAGAACAGGUCCGACGGUGAGGGACGAAAGCUAGGGGCACGAACCGGAUUAGAUACCCGGGUAGUCCUAGCCGUAAACGAUGCUCGCUAGGUGUCACAACAGUCGUGAACUGUUGUGGUGCCGUAGGGAAGCCGUGAAGCGAGCCACUUGGGAAGUACGACCGCAAGGUUGAAACUUAAAGGAAUUGGCGGGGGAGCAC